Molecule: ribosomal RNA, 420 nt
Filed under: uncultured eukaryote
Lineage: Eukaryota
Description: bacterial SSU rRNA
Rfam family: Eukaryotic small subunit ribosomal RNA
Source: RNAcentral
CAAUGGCGUAUAUUAAAGUUGUUGCAGUUAAAAAGCUCGUAGUUGGAUUUCUGGCAGGAGCGACCGGUCGGCCCAAGUGGUGUGUACUAGUGUUGCAUCUGGCCAUAUUUGCGGAGAGCGUGUGUGGCAUUAAUUUGUCGUGCACGGGACCCGCAUCGUUUACUUUGAAAAAAUUAGAGUGUUCAAAGCAGGCCUAUGCUCUGAAUAGGUUAGCAUGGAAUAAUAAAAUAGGACUUUGGUUCUAUUUUGUUGGUUUCUAGGACCGAAGUAAUGAUUAAUAGGGACAGUUGGGGGCAUUCAUAUUCCAAUGUCAGAGGUGAAAUUCUUGGAUUAUCGGAAGAUGAACUUCUGCGAAAGCAUCUGCCAAGGAUGUUUUCAUUGAUCAAGAACGAAAGUUAGGGGGAUCGAAGAUGAUCAGAU